CCUACGGGUGGCAGCAGUGGGGAAUAUUGGGCAAUGGGCGCAAGCCUGACCCAGCAACGCCGCGUGAAUGAAGAAGGCUUUCGGGUUGUAAACUUCUUUUCUCAGGGACGAAGAAAGUGACGGUACCUGAUGAAUAAGCCCCGGCUAACGACGUGCCAGCAGCCGCGGUAAUACGGAGGGUGCGAGCGUUAAUCGGAGUUACUGGGCGUAAAGCGCGCGUAGGCGGUAUGUCAAGUCAAGGGUGAAAUCCCCGCGCUCAACGUGGGAACUGCCUUUGAAACUGGCAAACUGGAGUGUGUGAGAGGAUAGUGGAAUUCCAGGUGUAGGAGUGAAAUCCGUAGAUAUCUGGAGGAACAGCAGUGGCGAAGGCGACUAUCUGGCACAUAACUGACGCUGAGGAGCGAAAGCGUGGGUAGCAAACAGGAUUAGAUACCCGUGUAGUC
RNAcentral lists this ribosomal RNA (443 nucleotides) under uncultured bacterium. Its description in RNAcentral is "partial 16S ribosomal RNA". It matches the Rfam family "Bacterial small subunit ribosomal RNA", at positions 338 to 795 of the family's 1533-position model. The record is from RNAcentral.